Molecule: ribosomal RNA, 572 nt
Filed under: uncultured bacterium
Lineage: Bacteria
Description: bacterial SSU rRNA
Rfam family: Bacterial small subunit ribosomal RNA
Source: RNAcentral
AUGAUGCGUAGCCGAACUGAGAGGUUGAUCGGCCACAUUGGGACUGAGACACGGCCCAAACUCCUACGGGAGGCAGCAGUAGGGAAUCUUCCACAAUGGGCGAAAGCCUGAUGGAGCAACGCCGCGUGGGUGAAGAAGGUCUUCGGAUCGUAAAACCCUGUUGUUAGAGAAGAAAGUGCGUGAGAGUAACUGUUCACGUUUCGACGGUAUCUAACCAGAAAGCCACGGCUAACUACGUGCCAGCAGCCGCGGUAAUACGUAGGUGGCAAGCGUUAUCCGGAUUUAUUGGGCGUAAAGGGAACGCAGGCGGUCUUUUAAGUCUGAUGUGAAAGCCUUCGGCUUAACCGGAGUAGUGCAUUGGAAACUGGGAGACUUGAGUGCAGAAGAGGAGAGUGGAACUCCAUGUGUAGCGGUGAAAUGCGUAGAUAUAUGGAAGAACACCAGUGGCGAAAGCGGCUCUCUGGUCUGUAACUGACGCUGAGGUUCGAAAGCGUGGGUAGCAAACAGGAUUAGAUACCCUGGUAGUCCACGCCGUAAACGAUGAAUGCUAAGUGUUGGAGGGUUUCCGCCCU